CGNUAACGAACGAGCCUUAACCUGCUAAAUAGCCAGGCUAGCUUUGGCUGGUCGCCGGCUUCUUAGAGGGACUAUCGGCUCAAGCCGAUGGAAGUUUGAGGCAAUAACAGGUCUGUGAUGCCCUUAGAUGUUCUGGGCCGCACGCGCGCUACACUGACAGAGCCAACGAGUUUCUUCCUUGUCCGAAAGGUCUGGGUAAUCUUGUCAAACUCUGUCGUGCUGGGGAUAGAGCAUUGCAAUG
Molecule: ribosomal RNA, 241 nt
Filed under: uncultured fungus
Lineage: Eukaryota; Fungi
Description: partial small subunit ribosomal RNA
Rfam family: Eukaryotic small subunit ribosomal RNA
Source: RNAcentral